RNAcentral lists this ribosomal RNA (2916 nucleotides) under Salmonella enterica subsp. enterica serovar Enteritidis. RNAcentral's name for it is "bacterial LSU rRNA". It matches the Rfam family "Bacterial large subunit ribosomal RNA". The record is from RNAcentral. Lineage: Bacteria; Pseudomonadati; Pseudomonadota; Gammaproteobacteria; Enterobacterales; Enterobacteriaceae.
GGGUUGUGAGGUUAAGCGACUAAGCGUACACGGUGGAUGCCCUGGCAGUCAGAGGCGAUGAAGGGCGUGCUAAUCUGCGAUAAGCGCCGGUAAGGUGAUAUGAACCGUUAUAACCGGCGAUACCCGAAUGGGGAAACCCAGUGUGACUCGUCACACUAUCAUUAACUGAAUCCAUAGGUUAAUGAGGCGAACCGGGGGAACUGAAACAUCUAAGUACCCCGAGGAAAAGAAAUCAACCGAGAUUCCCCCAGUAGCGGCGAGCGAACGGGGAGGAGCCCAGAGCCUGAAUCAGCAUGUGUGUUAGUGGAAGCGUCUGGAAAGGCGCGCGAUACAGGGUGACAGCCCCGUACACAAAAGCGCAUGUGCUGUGAGCUCGAUGAGUAGGGCGGGACACGUGGUAUCCUGUCUGAAUAUGGGGGGACCAUCCUCCAAGGCUAAAUACUCCUGACUGACCGAUAGUGAACCAGUACCGUGAGGGAAAGGCGAAAAGAACCCCGGCGAGGGGAGUGAAAAAGAACCUGAAACCGUGUACGUACAAGCAGUGGGAGCNNGUGACUGCGUACCUUUUGUAUAAUGGGUCAGCGACUUAUAUUCUGUAGCAAGGUUAACCGAAUAGGGGAGCCGGAGGGAAACCGAGUCUUAACCGGGCGUUAAGUUGCAGGGUAUAGACCCGAAACCCGGUGAUCUAGCCAUGGGCAGGUUGAAGGUUGGGUAACACUAACUGGAGGACCGAACCGACUAAUGUUGAAAAAUUAGCGGAUGACCUGUGGCUGGGGGUGAAAGGCCAAUCAAACCGGGAGAUAGCUGGUUCUCCCCGAAAGCUAUUUAGGUAGCGCCUCGUGAAUUCAUCUCCGGGGGUAGAGCACUGUUUCGGCUAGGGGGCCAUCCCGGCUUACCAACCCGAUGCAAACUGCGAAUACCGGAGAAUGUUAUCACGGGAGACACACGGCGGGUGCUAACGUCCGUCGUGAAGAGGGAAACAACCCAGACCGCCAGCUAAGGUCCCAAAGUCAUGGUUAAGUGGGAAACGAUGUGGGAAGGCCCAGACAGCCAGGAUGUUGGCUUAGAAGCAGCCAUCAUUUAAAGAAAGCGUAAUAGCUCACUGGUCGAGUCGGCCUGCGCGGAAGAUGUAACGGGGCUAAACCAUGCACCGAAGCUGCGGCAGCGACACUGUGUGUUGUUGGGUAGGGGAGCGUUCUGUAAGCCUGUGAAGGUGUGUCGUGAGGCAUGCUGGAGGUAUCAGAAGUGCGAAUGCUGACAUAAGUAACGAUAAAGCGGGUGAAAAGCCCGCUCGCCGGAAGACCAAGGGUUCCUGUCCAACGUUAAUCGGGGCAGGGUGAGUCGACCCCUAAGGCGAGGCCGAAAGGCGUAGUCGAUGGGAAACGGGUUAAUAUUCCCGUACUUGGUGUUACUGCGAAGGGGGGACGGAGAAGGCUAUGUUGGCCGGGCGACGGUUGUCCCGGUUUAAGCGUGUAGGUGUGUGUUCCAGGUAAAUCCGGUUCACUUUAACACUGAGGCGUGACGACGAGGCACUACGGUGCUGAAGCAACAAAUGCCCUGCUUCCAGGAAAAGCCUCUAAGCAUCAGGUAACAUCAAAUCGUACCCCAAACCGACACAGGUGGUCAGGUAGAGAAUACCAAGGCGCUUGAGAGAACUCGGGUGAAGGAACUAGGCAAAAUGGUGCCGUAACUUCGGGAGAAGGCACGCUGACACGUAGGUGAAGUGAUUUACUCAUGGAGCUGAAGUCAGUCGAAGAUACCAGCUGGCUGCAACUGUUUAUUAAAAACACAGCACUGUGCAAACACGAAAGUGGACGUAUACGGUGUGACGCCUGCCCGGUGCCGGAAGGUUAAUUGAUGGGGUCAGCGCAAGCGAAGCUCCUGAUCGAAGCCCCGGUAAACGGCGGCCGUAACUAUAACGGUCCUAAGGUAGCGAAAUUCCUUGUCGGGUAAGUUCCGACCUGCACGAAUGGCGUAAUGAUGGCCAGGCUGUCUCCACCCGAGACUCAGUGAAAUUGAACUCGCUGUGAAGAUGCAGUGUACCCGCGGCAAGACGGAAAGACCCCGUGAACCUUUACUAUAGCUUGACACUGAACAUUGAGCCUUGAUGUGUAGGAUAGGUGGGAGGCUUUGAAGUGUGGACGCCAGUCUGCAUGGAGCCGACCUUGAAAUACCACCCUUUAAUGUUUGAUGUUCUAACGUGGACCCGUUACCCGGGUUGCGGACAGUGUCUGGUGGGUAGUUUGACUGGGGCGGUCUCCUCCUAAAGAGUAACGGAGGAGCACGAAGGUUGGCUAAUCCUGGUCGGACAUCAGGAGGUUAGUGCAAUGGCAUAAGCCAGCUUGACUGCGAGCGUGACGGCGCGAGCAGGUGCGAAAGCAGGUCAUAGUGAUCCGGUGGUUCUGAAUGGAAGGGCCAUCGCUCAACGGAUAAAAGGUACUCCGGGGAUAACAGGCUGAUACCGCCCAAGAGUUCAUAUCGACGGCGGUGUUUGGCACCUCGAUGUCGGCUCAUCACAUCCUGGGGCUGAAGUAGGUCCCAAGGGUAUGGCUGUUCGCCAUUUAAAGUGGUACGCGAGCUGGGUUUAGAACGUCGUGAGACAGUUCGGUCCCUAUCUGCCGUGGGCGCUGGAGAACUGAGGGGGGCUGCUCCUAGUACGAGAGGACCGGAGUGGACGCAUCACUGGUGUUCGGGUUGUCAUGCCAAUGGCACUGCCCGGUAGCUAAAUGCGGAAGAGAUAAGUGCUGAAAGCAUCUAAGCACGAAACUUGCCCCGAGAUGAGUUCUCCCUGAGACUUAGAGUCUCCUGAAGGAACGUUGAAGACGACGACGUUGAUAGGCCGGGUGUGUAAGCGCAGCGAUGCGUUGAGCUAACCGGUACUAAUGAACCGUGAGGCUUAACCUUACAACGCCGAAG